RNA transcript from Arabidopsis thaliana (thale cress), 5782 nucleotides. RefSeq lists it as uncharacterized. Lineage: Eukaryota; Viridiplantae; Streptophyta; Magnoliopsida; Brassicales; Brassicaceae. The record is from RefSeq. The transcript is spliced from 2 exons.
CAUUUUUCGAUUUUCCCCGACUUUCUCCGACGAUGCGAUGGCGAUAGCGAUGGUGAUUCCGGUGACUUAUGCUCCGACGAUUGACACGAUCAUUUGAGGCAGUCUCCUUUGUCCAGAUUUUCUUCUUCAACCUCUUUCUCUUGCUUACCCACCAAAUUCAUCAUCUUUGAAACUGCUUCAUCCCUUUCGCUUUGGUGAUUCUGAAGACUCCGCUUUAUACCCAUUUUGAUCUGUAAGUUUCGAUUUUCGAUCUCCUUUGUUAGUUUCCUGUCAUAUUUAGUUAGAAAUUGUUCCGAGCAUUGAAUUUUUGCGUACAUGAAUCUCGUUUUUAAUCUGUGUUUGUGUGAUCAAUUUGUGAAAUUUUGAAUUGGGUUUGUUUGCUCGAUGGUGUUUUAUUCAUUGGCUAAUUCCCCAACUGAUAACUUUCAAUUUCUGAGAUGGUGGUAGUUAUAAAACUAAGGCUAAAACACUAAUCUUUGCUCUUAAGUAGUGUUGGUUUGGAUUGAUUUUUGUUAGAAACAAUGAUUGGAGCAUAAGUUUUGUUACAUGUAGUUAUGGCACAUCGAACAAGGAGAUAUUAUCUUAUAGAAGAAUGCUUCCAAGUUAGUUGCUUUUGUGCUAUAUCUUGAGGACUUAAGGCUUAUGGUUAGUGUUCAUACUUUGUUUUCUUGUUUGGUCUAUAAUAGACACUACUGGUUGAAUUAGAAUCUGGAACCGACAUUAGUGUUUUUGUUGGCCAAUAUUUUGUUACUGCGAUGAAAUGAAAAAAUCACGAGCUGAUGAUGGCUAUGAUGAAGCUUAUUGGGUCUGAUGAUUUGGGUAUUAAUAAUAAACUCCUUAGAUUUAGUCAAACUAUGAUCCUACAGGACCUCCUCAUCUCUUAGCAACAAUGUAAUCUAUUACUAGGGAAGAACAAAAACAAUAAUCUAUUUUAUGGUGAUUGAUGCUUGAUUGGAACAAUUAGGCAAUGAUGCUUUCAGAUUUAGAAAGUCUUGAUUUUGGAUUUAGUCUUGGUGGACGUAAUAUGGUCGGCGUUAGGAGCAGUGGAGACUUUGAAUUUCAUGUGAUUAAAUUGUGAUUAUGCAACAUUUCCCUAUGCUCUUAAGACUGUGAUUAAACAAAACUUUACUAUAGUAGCGAAAAGCAACGGUCAGUUUCAUACAUGAUAGUUGAUGAUAACUGUGUGUGUGAAUGCAUGUAUAUUAAUAGCAUUCCGGUGAAUCAUAACUUCAUUCUACCACCAUUCAAGAUUUAGCAAAUACAGACACUAACUACGAAAUGAGAUUCAUUGGAUAUAACCAAAUUCCAAGCACUCCUAGUCCUCUUGGCUUUGGGACACUUUUAAGCUCUGUCAAUCUUUAUUUCUGUUUUGAACUGAACGUUUGUUGUCAUUGGCUGCAAAAGCUGUCAUUUGGCUAAUGAUCGAAUUGUGGAAACAAAGGAUAAUUAUAGAAUGGUUCAAAGAAGUUGGUUUCUUCUUGGUUUAAAUCUUGUUUCUUCAAUGUUCAAAUACUUUUGAUGUCUUUUAUUAAUUUUUAUGAAACAAUUUUUUUUUUCCUAAGAACCUAAUUAGAGAGACUAACCAUUGGACUAAGAAAACUUAAAAUAAAAAACACAAGUUCUCAUCUAACAAAAUUUCAAAUAAUUUAUACUAAAACAAUUGGUGAGAGCCCAUGGGGGACUCUCACCGUUGGAGAUGCUCUAAAGUUUCUUCUACGUUUGAAAUAAUACAUUCUGAUUUGUGGACUUCUCCUAUUCCUAGUCUAUCCGGAAUUCGUUACUAUGUUUUGUUUCUCGAUCAAUUCUCUCAUUUUCUAUGGAUUUAUCCUCUUCGCAAUAAGAGUGAUGUGUUCUCAAAAUUUCUGCAAUUUCAUACCUAUGUCAAAACACAAUUCGAGAAACACAUUAAAUCUCUACAGUGUGAUAAUGGUGGUGAGUAUAAAAACUCACAGUUUCAUGAUUUCUUUGCUAAACACGGGAUACAGUUUCGUUUUUCGUGUCCAUACACCUCUCAACAAAAUGGCAGAUUGGAACGCAUGAUACGAACCCAUCAACAAUGCUUUUUGCACUAUGCUGCUUCAAGCUCAUCUUCCCAAUACGUUUUGGGUAGAAGCUCUAAGGGCAUCUCCAAUAGUAAUCUCUAUAUUUUCCUCUAUUUAUAGAGAUGACUCUAUUUUAAAGACAUUGUGCUCCAAUGGUCACCUUUAAAAUAGAGUUUCCUCUGAAAUAGAGGAAAAAAUAGAGAUAUAUACUUUUUGUCUCUAUAAAUAGAGAUCUCUACAAUUCAUCUCUAUUUUUUCCUUUAUUUUUGAGGAAACUCUAUUUUAGAGGUGACCACUGGAGCACAAUGCGUCUAAAAUAGAGUUCCCUCUAAAAUAGAGAAAAAUAUAGAGGUGAUCAUUGGAGAUGGUCUAAAUAAUGCAGUUCACAUUCUCAAUCUCCUUCCAUCCACUUCUAUCGAUAACAAAAUUCAUUUCUCAGUGUUAUUCAACAAAACACCAUCUUACUCUCAUCUUAGAGUUUUUGGUUCUCUUUGUUAUCCUCACACAAAUAAUCAAAACAAACUUGAUCCAAGGUCAUCACCAUCAGCUUUCCUAAGUUAUCCUCUACUUGACUCAGGGUAUAGAUGUUUUGAUUUAAAAACACGGAAAAUUGUGAUAUCUCGUCAUGUCACAUUUUAAGAGGAUAUCUUCCCUUACCAAAUCACCAAUGCUAAAAUCGACUCUGCUUAUGACUUUCUUGAAGCGGAUACAGAGCCUUCUCAAAUUCAAAAGCAGCUUUUGCUUACACCUUCUCUUCCAGCGACAAAUGAAACAGAUCUAGUUUUGACUGCUCUUGCUCCUCAUGUAGCGACUCAACCACCACCACAGCGUAUGGUGACUAGAUCGCAGCAGGGCAUUCGUAAACCAAAGAAAAUUCUCUCACUAAAUGCUCAAACACUUUCCCAAAUUCCAAAGGGUUAUAAGCAAGCUCUAAUGGAUCCGAAUUGGAAUCCUUCAAUGACAGAAGAGUAUGAUGCUUUGAUUAAGACUUACACUUGGAGUUUAGUGCCUAAACCUGCAGGUACAAACAUCAUCAAUUCGAUUUGGUUGUACAAGCACAAGUUUAAUGCUGACGGCUCACUCUCUAGAUAGAAAUUCAGACUUGUCUCUAAUGUAUUGAACUUUGCGGUUGAACGACAUUGCCUGGUGCAUCAGUUGGAUGUACAAAACGCCUUUUUGCAUGGAGAGCUUGAAGAAACAGUUACAUGUAUCCACCAGCAGGGUUUGUUGACAAUAGGAAUCCGGGUUAUGUAUGCAAGCUAAAUAAGGCGUUGUAUGGCCUGAAACAAGCACCACGGGCUUGGAAUGCUCGGUUUGUAGCUUAUGUUAAAAGAUGGGUUUUGUGCAGAGUAAAUGUGAUGCUUCUCUAUUUGUGUACAAACACGGGCAAGACAAGGCCUACUUGUUGCUCUAUGUCGAUGACAUAAUGCUUACAACAUCCUCAUCCAGAUUCCUUGACUCCAUAGUCGACAAACUCAAAACGGAAUUCCCAAUGUUAGACACAGGUAAACUCAGCUUCUUUCUAGGCAUCUCAGUUAUGCUCGAUAGUAACGGCAUGUUCUUAUGCCAAGAAAACUAUGCAAAGGAUAUUAUUAAGAGGGCAGAGAUGCAAAACUGCAAACCCAGCCUCACACUGGUUGAUCUAGCUUCAAAGCUAGAAGAGAAUGUUGGACCAAAGAUACAAAACCCGACUCUGUAUAGAAGCUCGGCAGGAGCACUGCAAUAUUUAACUAUUACAAGACCGAAUAUAUCUUAUGAUGUCUAACAAGUCUGCUUGUUCAUGCAUGACCCAAGGGAAAUACACCUUCAUGCACUCUGACGUAUCUUCCGCUAUAUCAAGGGGUCUCCUUCUUAAGGUCUUAGUAUUACUAAGUCUCCAUCAACGAAAUUGGUCGCUUAUUCGGAUGCGGACUGGGCUGGGUGUCCAAACACGAGGCGUUCAACUUCAGGGUACUAUGAUUUCCUUGGUGAUACUCUAAUCUCUUGGUCGUCUAAGCGACAAGGCUCGGUUUCAAGAUCAAGUGCAGAAGCAGAAUAAAAGGCAGAGGCAAACGCGGUGGCAGAGACUUGUUGGAUACGGAACUUAUUGUUCGAGUUACAUUAUCCGUUAUCGCAGGCAAUGUUGGUGUUUUGUGACAAUGUGAGUGUCGUAUAUCUCUCUACCAAUCUUGUCAAGCAUCAGCGAACCAUGCAUGUUGAAAUAGACAUACACUUUGUGCGGGAGAAGGUCGCAAAAGGCGAGGUUCGUGUCAUUCACAUUCUUGCAACACAUCAAUACGCAUACAUUUUCACUAAGGGCCACAUUACUUCCCUGUUCAAUCAAUUCAAGUCAAGCCUUGACGUCAUUACAAGACCGAUGCUAAGACUGCGGGAGGGUAUCAGGAGAUAGGAUAUUCUUCUCAAUAUUCUUCUCAAUAUGUUUGUUAUAAGUUUAGUUACGACUUUGUUAAUAUCCUCAUGUACCUAGAAUGUAGGAAAGAUCUGUACUCUUGUAACUAAAUCGUGUAUAUAUUCACUCUAAUGCAAAGCUAUCUUCUCAAGGAGACUUACACAAUCUUACAGAAUCAGACAUCAAAAAUGAUGGUGGAUUUUUGAUAGAUGCUCCUUCUUUGCAGCUCUUGGAGAUUCAAGAAUAUCCAGAUGGGUUUUGUGGCAUUGAGCAUAGUAUGCCUAAGAUUGAAACCGCAAAUGUUUAUGUUACUCAUACUGAGCAGAUUCUUUCUUCUCUUACUUCAAUCAAGUAACUCGGAUUACGUUUAACGACAUCAAAGGUAAUUAUUAUUAGUUCUACUCUAUAUACUUAUUUAAGAAGAUUUUAUCAUUGUUAUAUUGGAUAAUAAACUCCCUUGACUGAAUUAUUAUGAGAGACACACAUAUAUAGAGAUAUAUAGAGAUACAAAGAGUUCUAGAAAGUUAUAUCUAAGGGUAUGUCAUGGCGUUAUUCCAAUGACUAUUCUUGGCCGCUUGAAUAUGCGAUAUUAGAGCGGGAGAAAUAGUGAUAUCAGUGUGAAGACAAAAAUGUUUUUUUGAUUUGAAGAUACAUUACUACGAUUUUGUAUAGUAUUAGUGGAAGUAGAAUUAGAAGUAGAAGUAUGAGAAGGAGGUACCAUAGGGCUUCUUUGUUAUCACGAAACAGAUUUUUGAUUGCAGACCAAAGGUCAUGAAUGGAGCACUUCGGUUUGAGGACGAUCUCAAGUAUGGACUCGGUAAUUGUCCCAUAGAUCCACAUUUUGACAAGAUCAUUGUGCUCUUUCCAAGAUUUUUCAGUUUCCGGCGUGGAGGAGGAAGUGUUGUCGAUGUGCCAAUAUAUUAGGGGCUGGUUUGGCUCGGUUCUCUUUAGUUACUCUUGGUAUAAUCAUCUACGAAUAUACUCUAACAGAUGCAUAUAUUCUUUGUAACUAGAAUUAGAUAGAUCUUCCUAGAUUCACGCUUUCGGUUGUACAUUGACUCUAUAUAUGUUGUAUGCUGUUCAUUGUGAUCAAUAACACGAAUCCAUUUGAUCUCUGAAAUCCUUUACAAGAACACCAAAACUGCUACUAUGCAUUUCAAAAAGCUCUCUCCAUGUAUCGUAGUUGAGUUUGGCCUUGUCAAGAGUGAUGAGAAUGUAAGAUUUGAUUUGGCUAAUAGAGAACGGUUUGUCAGAGGUGGUAGAUAGAUUGGUACGGGCCAUCGUUGAGAAUAGAGAGUAAUUAAAAAACAAAAAAAUAUAAAAAGAAAAACAAAAGGUUUAGAUGAGGAAG